Molecule: transfer RNA, 71 nt
Filed under: Sphingobacteriia bacterium
Lineage: Bacteria; Pseudomonadati; Bacteroidota; Sphingobacteriia
Description: tRNA-Cys
Rfam family: tRNA
About the family: Transfer RNA (tRNA) molecules are approximately 80 nucleotides in length. Their secondary structure includes four short double-helical elements and three loops (D, anti-codon, and T loops).
Source: RNAcentral
AGCCCUGUGGCCGAGUGGGUAGGUAAAGGUUUGCAAAACCUUUUACGGCGGUUCGAAUCCGCCCGGGGCGU